This 758-nucleotide unclassified non-coding RNA is filed under the name Zea mays. Its description in RNAcentral is "misc RNA Zm00001eb100850". Lineage: Eukaryota; Viridiplantae; Streptophyta; Magnoliopsida; Poales; Poaceae. The record is from RNAcentral.
UUUUUAUGAACAAAUUUACUUUUAUUUUGUCAUAUGAAAAAAUAUUUAAAAUAUAAAUUGUACAUCAUAAUGAGUUAUACAAAUUAACAUCAUAGCACCCAUGACACGGCCGGAGCUAGGCUAUGCAAGCCGACGAAGGCAGCCACGCACGGGUACCAUUAUACACACCUUACAUAGAUCACACAACAACAGCGUAGAGAGCUAGUGCGUGAUCCCGAACUCGAAUAGACUAAGUACAUGGAAAGCAAUUUUAACAGACAAGCGAUGAUAGAUCAAGCAGCUCUUAUUUUAGCCGGAGAGAGUGAUGGUGAGUUGCAUUGUCGCUAUAGCUAUAGCUCAUGGCGAGCCAGUGCGUCCCACCCCCCGCCCGCCACGCGCCGCGCUCCAUGUGAGAUCAGUAGGCGACGAUCUUGAGGCCGAGGUUCUUCUGCGCGAACUCGAUGAGGCCAUCGACCUCGCUGUCGUCGAUGUAGCCGUCGCCGUCUGUGUCGGCAUAACUGAUGCCCUGCCUGCUCCUCCACCCCGUGAACCGGGAGCGGAUGGCACGCAGAGCGCGCCGCAGCUCGUCGCGGCUGAUGCGCCCGUCCUGGUCCGUGUCGAACCGCCGCAGCCACUCCUUGAACUCGUCCACCGUCAUGUCCGCGUCCAGCGACCGCGUCGUCGCCGCCACCGUCAUGUUCUUGAUCGCCAUCGGUGGAGACUGGAGAGCAGCGGCAGCAGCUCCUCACAACACCACCACCACCCUAAAAACCUCCUCG